CGGACGGGUGAGUAACGCGUGGGCAACCUGCCUUACACAGGGGGAUAACACUUAGAAAUAGGUGCUAAUACCGCAUGAGCGCACAGGACCGCAUGGUCGAGUGUGAAAAACUGAGGUGGUGUAAGAUGGACCCGCGUCUGAUUAGCUAGUUGGUGAGGUAACGGCCCACCAAGGCGACGAUCAGUAGCCGGCCUGAGAGGGUGGACGGCCACAUUGGGACUGAGACACGGCCCAAACUCCUACGGAAGGCAGCAG
RNAcentral lists this ribosomal RNA (255 nucleotides) under uncultured bacterium. Its description in RNAcentral is "partial 16S ribosomal RNA". It matches the Rfam family "Bacterial small subunit ribosomal RNA", at positions 99 to 354 of the family's 1533-position model. The record is from RNAcentral.